UGGGUAACCUGCCCCGAUGACUGGGACAACCCGGGGAAACCCGGGGCUAAUACCGGAUGUGGUCCCCUCACAUCAGUGAGAUGACUAAAGGAAGCUUCGGCCUCCGCAUCGGGAUGGGCCCGCGGCCCAUUAGCUUGUUGGUGAGGUAACGGCUCACCAAGGCGACGACGGGUAGCCGGCCCGAGAGGGUGACCGGCCACACUGGGACUGAGACACGGCCCAGACUCCUACGGGAGGCAG
RNAcentral lists this ribosomal RNA (240 nucleotides) under uncultured bacterium. RNAcentral describes it as "partial 16S ribosomal RNA". It matches the Rfam family "Bacterial small subunit ribosomal RNA", at positions 118 to 351 of the family's 1533-position model. The record is from RNAcentral.